ACUUUGGGAAGCUGAGGCGGGUGGAUCACAAGGUCAGGAGUUCGAGACCAGCCUGACCAACAUGGUGAAACUCCGUCUCUACUAAAAAUACAAAAAUUUGCUGGGCGUGGUGGCGCACACCUGUAAUCCCAGCUACUCGGGAGGCUGAGGCAGGAGAAUCAUUUGAACCCAGGAGGUGGAGGUUGCAGUGAGCUGAGAUCAUGCCACUGCACUCCAGCCUGGGUGACACAAUGAGACCGUCUCCAAAAAAAAGCUACUAUGAAGCUGGGACUCUGUUCCAGGCCAGCCUCAGGCUGGCCUCAUCCUAAUGAAGUCAUCCUGGCCUGGUCCCAAUCUUGGGGCUCUGGUCCCAUGGAUUUUUGCAGGGAUCCGCAACCAGGCCGACAACUGCCCUAGGGUACCCAACUCAGACCAGAAGGACAGUGAUGGCGAUGGUAUAGGGGAUGCCUGUGACAACUGUCCCCAGAAGAACAACCCGGAUCAGGCGGAUGUGGACCACGACUUUGUGGGAGAUGCUUGCGACAGCGAUCAAGACCAGGAUGGAGACGGACAUCAGGACUCUCGGG
Molecule: small RNA, 566 nt
Filed under: Pongo abelii (Sumatran orangutan)
Lineage: Eukaryota; Metazoa; Chordata; Mammalia; Primates; Hominidae
Description: retained intron
Source: RNAcentral